RNAcentral lists this transfer RNA (71 nucleotides) under Enterococcus faecalis. RNAcentral's name for it is "tRNA-Phe". The record is from RNAcentral. Lineage: Bacteria; Bacillati; Bacillota; Bacilli; Lactobacillales; Enterococcaceae.
UGGCGUGUAGCAUCUGGGAUGCAACGGACAUGAAGGAAGAUAAGAGGUAGGUUCGAUUCCUACCACGCCAA